This is a long non-coding RNA of Xiphophorus couchianus (Monterrey platyfish), 1555 nucleotides long. RefSeq lists it as uncharacterized. Lineage: Eukaryota; Metazoa; Chordata; Actinopteri; Cyprinodontiformes; Poeciliidae. The transcript is spliced from 4 exons. The record is from RefSeq and is a predicted model, not a curated record.
UAUUUGGAAUAUUUAAAAUAUUUCGUUCUCCCCUCAUAACUUUGGCAAAUAAAGAAAAAAUGUUUUGAAAUUCUCAAUGAUUGUUAUGUAUGUUAGUGUGAUGCCCACGGGUGUGUGCUCACAAUAGAAAAAAAAGGAGCAUGCAUUUCUUUAAAUGUUUAUGGGGUUAAUGACGAUGGGUGUAGUAAUGGUGUUUCACCAGUAGGUUGCGCAUGGAGACUCUGAGCUGCCUGUUGCUCUGCGGUUUCUCAUAAGCUGAGAGAAAUUUCAGUAACACAGACUGCGUCUCCCGUGUGCUCAUUUACAUGCUGUUUUUCAGAUCCACGUAUCUAUUUGCAACAUUCGGAACGGAGAGAAGAUUCUUCCAUAUUGCAUGAACAAUAAAUAUUGCUGUUCCCUUUGCUAAUACAAGCUACAGAACCACAUAGCACAAACUGCUAUGGUUCAACAUAACGAUGCCUUUAAAUGUUCUUGAAGCUGUUCUCCAGGAGGUGAUACCAGCACAGGGAGACUCAGCCUACCUCACCUUGGCAUUGACCUGCAAGUGCUUUGAAGCCGUUGAGUCUGACCCAGUUUUCAGGAAGAAGACUCACUUUGCUUGGCUGGAUGGUGAGAUCAACUGGGGCAAAUUUUCAAAAACAUUCAAGGCAGAAAACCGGAUUCCUUUUGCGGUUGUAACGUGUUUUUCCUGUCACCGGUAAUAUAAAGACUGUGGGCUUCACUGGCAAUGGAAGACGAGGAGAGUACCCUGGUUACUACUGUGAUGGCCGACCUGGACACUACACUGACUGUCAAUACUGAAUGCAAGGAGAAUAUUAGUUGCUUUCCACAAUCUUUCACACAUUUCAGUUGUCACACAUUGUUAGUUUUUUUUUGUGACAUGCCAUUUUAAAUCAUUUCUGCUAAAGAAUAUUUGCCUUUUGACUUGUGCAGUCAUCCUUUUUCAUAAUGUGUUCUUUCAAUAUUAUUUACAUUUUUGAAUGUUCCUUUUGUUGUAGCUCAGUUGAUUUACAUUAUUUAGUUUUCAUAGAAAUGGUGCCGUUUCCACACAAAGUUACAUUGUGGCUGUAAUUUGUUGGAGAGAGUAGAACCAAUAAAGUAGUUGUAAAUAUAUUGUAACAGCGUUGUUUAACAAUAGGAUAACCUUGUUUUAAAAAUUUUAAAUGCAAGCAAAGCUAAUAACUUGCAAUAUUUCAUAUGUGUAAAUACAAUGUUUCCUAUACUUUUUGAACAAUGACUGGAAUCAAUACAAAUUUUCUUUACAAACCUGACAUACAGCUAAGUUUAUGUUUUAACAGAAUCAACUGUUGGGUUUUUUGUAAUAAAGUAGCACAUACAGAAACAUAUUGUUCGGUUACAAAGUCAUAAUACAAACAUAAGAUUAAAGGUAUCCUGACUUUAUGAAGAGAGAUGAGCCCGGCGCCGUUAGGCUGGGAUGGAGACACAUGAUCAGGUGAUUGGCUGAGCAGCUGAGAUGAAGACAGUUAUAGUUAGAAAUUACACAUUGGUUUAAUUUAUGUAACCAGUGACUUUAUUCAAAAAGGUUUUCAUAUAG